Rhinopithecus roxellana (golden snub-nosed monkey) is the source of this 1268-nucleotide long non-coding RNA. RefSeq lists it as uncharacterized. The transcript has 2 exons. NCBI's taxonomy places the organism in Eukaryota, Metazoa, Chordata, Mammalia, Primates, Cercopithecidae. The record is from RefSeq and is a predicted model, not a curated record.
AGGCCGGCCACACCCAGGGCGCUCCUGAAGCCGCAGCCGCUGCUGUGCUAGGCCGGGAAGACCCGCCUGGGGCGCGUGGGUGGGGCGGGAGCGCAGCUGCAGCCAGGAGGCGACACAGGCCCGGGCCAGCCAGGGACGGAAAAAUUGUAAGAAACUACACAGAUGCUUCCUCAUACACUCUGCUCAGUCUCUCUGAAUGAUACAGUUUGGAAAACCACAGGACAAUGUCACAACCAGGUUAAUGACUUUGAUGUGAUGCCUCGAUCCCAUCCUGAGUCCCCGUUCCUGGCUGACGUGUGCCUAUCAAGGGCUGCACCAUGUCGGCACAGGCGAAGGCUCCUGCGUCCCCCGACAGCGAGGCCGCAGAACGUCCCCAUCACCGGGGGUCCUCGGGUGCCCCUGGCAAUACACCCACCUCCCUGCUGUUGGCCACGAGCCUGUCCUCCACCCCCAUCACUGUUUCAUUCCAGCGACAGCGUGGGAAGGUGCAGUAGCAGCCUUCCGGGAUUCCCUGGAGAUGCCUCCAGCGCGUGUUUCAGCAGCCGGUUCCUCUCUGUGCUGAGCCAUCCAGGCCGUGGUGUGGACGUAGCACACCGCAAUUUAGUCAGCCGUUCUCCAGUGUGAGUCUGGGUGGACUCCCUUUCUUGGUGACUAUGAAUAAAGGCCCGGAAGCCCUCUGGGGACGAGGCGCGCAGGAGGCCAGGGGCUCCAGGACUGCCCUCCCAGACGGGGGCCUUGCUCUCAGGGGCCUGGAGAAGGUUCCGCUCGCUGGGGCCUCCCCUGCUCCUGGUCUGAGAAGAGAAACCUAGAGUUUCCAAGGGGCCUGCGCGUCAUGACGCGUGGCGCCCGCACACGGCAUGAUGAGAUAGGGCCCCGGGUGCUGGAACAGGAGCCCGCGCCGACGGAAAGUGGCGGGGCGAGGGGAUUCCCCGCUCGCCCGGGGCAGCGGGAAGUUUCCAUCCGCGCAGGGACGGUCGGGGAAGCACAGGAAACAGCAGGACCAUCCCGAAACUGCUUCUGCAGUGGGAGGCGGCGGGCGCCGGGCUGGCCGGGUGGAAACGACGCUGUCGCCGCCCGGGCCAAGGGCACCGCGGUGGGGAGGCAGCGCCUGAUUCACAGCCAUUUCUGAGGUUGGAACAGGAAAUGGUUAAUAGUGUUUGCAAAUAAAAACUCUCUGUUCUAUCCUGUUUUCGAAACAUUUCCCAGAAGUUGAAAAAUAACACCCAAUUUAUCUGCCCAAUUUAAGAAUAAACUUUUAAAAAAUUGAA